GACCAGUGUGGCAUAGUGGUUUGAGCAUUUAACUACGAAUCUGGAGACCAGGGUUUGAUUCCCUGCUUGGCCA
Molecule: non-coding RNA, 73 nt
Organism: Phrynosoma platyrhinos (Desert horned lizard)
Lineage: Eukaryota; Metazoa; Chordata; Lepidosauria; Squamata; Phrynosomatidae
Source: the annotation of a GenBank genome assembly